CUCCAGCCCGGCGUUUGGCGUGAGCUGUCUCGAAAGGCUGAGCGAGGUGUUCAUGCUCUCCCAGCCAACGCAACGAAACGAGGCAGCCGAUUUCUGUGCGCGUGUGGCCGCAGCCCGAAGCCGAUGUCGCGGUUUGAGCGGGUAAACGAACGCUGUACGGUGGUUCGACGCAGUCUCGAAUGGCGCGCACUCGCAGCGAGUUUGCGCGUCUGCAGUCAGAAAGCUGGCAUAGCUUUUUCGGUUAGUCCUGCCCGGCGUAGCAAGAGCUUGUCGGAAGGCGUCCAGUGGUAACCAUGUAUCACUAGGCAGCCGGCGGAGGCGCGCUGAGCGAUGACUCCCCGGGCCUGGGUGUACGUGAACAGUCCUUUUCGGUGCGACAGAUAUCUGGUUGAUCCUGCCAGU
RNAcentral lists this unclassified non-coding RNA (402 nucleotides) under Miyakoia sakishimana. RNAcentral's name for it is "Camaena sakishimana partial miscellaneous RNA". Lineage: Eukaryota; Metazoa; Mollusca; Gastropoda; Stylommatophora; Camaenidae. The record is from RNAcentral.